GACGAACGCUGGCGGCGUGCUUAACACAUGCAAGUCGAGCGGUAAGGCCCUUUCGGGGUACGACGAGCGGCGAACGGGUGGAGUAACAACGUGGGUGGACCUCGCCCUCCAGCUCUGGGGAUAAGCCUGGGAAACGUGGGUCUAAUACCGGAUAUGACCCCAUGACGCAUGUCGUGGGGUGGAAAGCCUUGUGCGGCUGAGGAUGGGCCCGCGGCCUAUCAGCUUGUU
Molecule: ribosomal RNA, 228 nt
Filed under: uncultured bacterium
Lineage: Bacteria
Description: partial 16S ribosomal RNA
Rfam family: Bacterial small subunit ribosomal RNA
Source: RNAcentral